RNAcentral lists this ribosomal RNA (1131 nucleotides) under marine metagenome. Its description in RNAcentral is "bacterial SSU rRNA". It matches the Rfam family "Bacterial small subunit ribosomal RNA", at positions 359 to 1520 of the family's 1533-position model. The record is from RNAcentral.
GAUCUUGCACAAUGGAGGAAACUCUGAUGCAGCGAUGCCGCGUGAGUGAAGAAGGCCUUUGGGUUGUAAAGCUCUUUCGUCGGGGAAGAAAAUGACUGUACCCGAAUAAGAAGGUCCGGCUAACUUCGUGCCAGCAGCCGCGGUAAUACGAAGGGACCUAGCGUAGUUCGGAAUUACUGGGCUUAAAGAGUUCGUAGGUGGUUGAAAAAGUUGGUGGUGAAAUCCCAGAGCUUAACUCUGGAACUGCCAUCAAAACUUUUCAGCUAGAGUAUGAUAGAGGAAAGCAGAAUUUCUAGUGUAGAGGUGAAAUUCGUAGAUAUUAGAAAGAAUACCAAUUGCGAAGGCAGCUUUCUGGAUCAUUACUGACACUGAGGAACGAAAGCAUGGGUAGCGAAGAGGAUUAGAUACCCUCGUAGUCCAUGCCGUAAACGAUGUGUGUUAGACGUUGGAAAUUUAUUUUCAGUGUCGCAGCGAAAGCGAUAAACACACCGCCUGGGGAGUACGACCGCAAGGUUAAAACUCAAAUGAAUUGACGGGGACCCGCACAAGUAGUGGAGCAUGUGGUUUAAUUCGAAGAUACGCGCAGAACCUUACCAACACUUGACAUGUUCGUCGCGACUUUAAGAGAUUAAAGUUUUCGGUUCGGCCGGACGAAACACAGGUGCUGCAUGGCUGUCGUCAGCUCGUGUCGUGAGAUGUUGGGUUAAGUCCCGCAACGAGCGCAACCCUCACUUUUAGUUGCCAUCAUUAAGUUGGGCACUCUGAAAGAACUGCCAGUGAUAAGCUGGAGGAAGGUGGGGAUGACGUCAAGUCCUCAUGGCCCUUACGUGUUGGGCUACACACGUGCUACAAUGGUAUCUACAACAGGAAGCAAAACUGCGAAGUUAAGCAAAUCCUUAAAAGAUACCUCAGUUCGGAUUGCACUCUGCAACUCGAGUGCAUGAAGCUGGAAUUACUAGUAAUCGUGGAUCAGCGUGCCACGGUGAAUGCGUUCCCGGGUCUUGUACACACCGCCCGUCACACCAUGGGAGUUGGUUCUACCUUAAGGCAAGGUUUCAAACCCUUGACCACGGUAUAGUCAGCGACUGGGGUGAAGUCGUAACAAGGUAGCCGUAGGGGAACCUGCGGCUG